CUAAUACCGCAUACGCCCUACGGGGUAAAGCAGGGGACCUUCGGGCCUUGCGCUGAUGGAUGAGCUCGCGUCGGAUUAGCUUGUUGGUGAGGUAAAGGCUCACCAAGGCGACGAUCCGUAGCUGGUCUGAGAGGAUGAUCAGCCACACCGGGACUGAGACACGGCCCGGACUCCUACGGGAGGCAGCAGUGGGGAAUCUUGGACAAUGGGGGCAACCCUGAUCCAGCCAUGCCGCGUGUGUGAAGAAGGCCUUCGGGUUGUAAAGCACUUUCAGCAGGGAGGAAGGCUUACCCCUAAUACGGGUGAGUACUUGACGUUACCUGCAGAAGAAGCACCGGCUAAUUUCGUG
This 349-nucleotide ribosomal RNA is filed under the name uncultured bacterium. Its description in RNAcentral is "bacterial SSU rRNA". It matches the Rfam family "Bacterial small subunit ribosomal RNA", at positions 163 to 507 of the family's 1533-position model. The record is from RNAcentral.